CUGACUGCUAUUGGAGUAGGACUAAGUCACGCUAGUCAAAGGUGUGGAAUGGAACACCUGGCGCACGGCUCAGUAGCACGUAAUGAAUCUACCCUAAGGACGAGAACAACCGCGGGAAACUGUGGCUAAUUCUCGAUAGGAAAUUUGGCCUGGAACGGUAUCUUUCCAAAAACCGGCUCGCCGUGAGACACGGGCCUUAGGAUGGCGUUGCGGCCGAUUAUGCUAGACGGCGGUGUAAAGGACCACCGUGGCUACGAUCGGUAUGGGCGAUGGAAGUCGGAGCCCAGAGUCGGCUACUGAGACAAGGAGCCGAGCCUUACGAGGCUUAGCGGUCGCGAAAACUCGCCAAUGCACGAAAGUGUGAGUGGGCUACUCCAAGUGUCAUUCUUACGGAUGACUGUCGCUCAGUUUUACAAGCUGAGAAAGGAAGGAGAGGGCAAGGCUGGUGCCAGCCGCCGCGGUAAAACCAGCUCUUCGAGUGGUCAGGACGAAUAUUGGGUCUAAAGCGUUCGUAGCGGGACAAGUAGGUUCCUGGUUAAAUCCGAUGUCACAAGCAUCGGGCUGCUGGGAAUACCGCUAGUCUUGAGAGCGGGAUAGGACAGGGGUAGUAUAUGGGCAGGGGUGAAAUCCAGUGAUCCAUAUGCGACCACCGAUGGCGAAGGCACCUGUCUGGAACGUAUCUAACCGUGAUGGACGAAAGCCAGGGGAGCGACCCGGAUUAGAUACCCGGUUAGUCCUGGCGUAAACGAUGCCGACUAGGUGUUGCAGCGGCCAAGAGCCACCGCAGUGCCACAGUGAAGACGUUAAGUCGGCCACCUGGGGAGUACGAUCGCAAGAUUGAAACUCAAAGGAAUUGACGGGGGCGCACCACCAGGAGUGAAGCCUG
RNAcentral lists this ribosomal RNA (886 nucleotides) under uncultured archaeon. Its description in RNAcentral is "bacterial SSU rRNA". It matches the Rfam family "Archaeal small subunit ribosomal RNA", at positions 23 to 897 of the family's 1478-position model. The record is from RNAcentral.